CCUACGGGAUGCAGCAGUGGGGAAUAUUGCACAAUGGGGGGAACCCUGAUGCAGCGACGCCGCGUGAGCGAUGAAGUAUUUCGGUAUGUAAAGCUCUAUCAGCAGGGAAGAAAAUGACGGUACCUGACUAAGAAGCCCCGGCUAACUACGUUCCAGCAGCCGCGGCAAUACGUAGGGGGCAAGCGUUAUCCGGAUUUACUGGGUGUAAAGGGAGCUUAGACGGCUGUGCAAGUCUGGAGUGAAAGGCAUGGGCUCAACCUGUGGACUGCAUUUGAAACUGUUGGUCUUGAGUAUCGGAGAGGCAGGCGGAAUUCGUAGUGGAGCGGUGAAAUGCGUAGAUAUUAGGAGGAACACCAGUGGCGAAGGCGGCCUGCUGGACGACAACUGACGGUGAGGCGCGAAAGCGUGGGGAGCAAACAGGAUUAGAUACCCUUGUAGUC
RNAcentral lists this ribosomal RNA (440 nucleotides) under uncultured bacterium. Its description in RNAcentral is "partial 16S ribosomal RNA". It matches the Rfam family "Bacterial small subunit ribosomal RNA", at positions 338 to 795 of the family's 1533-position model. The record is from RNAcentral.